CCAAUUUGGUUUUUGUUUUUUAUUGAGUUGAGUUUCAUUCGGCAAACACUAGCCACAUGAGUGUCUUACUGGGCCUCAAUGCUCACCACCUUCCAGAACCGCGGCCAGCCACCCACUGAUGCCAUUCAGGAAGUGUCCAUUGUUUGGACUGUUUCUUCCAGCACCUCAAUCUCCAGAGGAGUGAUUUUCUCAGUGAGGACUGCAGUAGUCCCUUUCUCACACCUGUACCGGCCAAGCCUAGUAAGAGAAAAACAAAAGCACAGAGUUAGGAUUCUCCUCAAGGUGCCAGAGGGCAGAAGACAGUGAAAAUAAAUAUUCAGGCAACGCAGUGAGCAGGCUGGACUGGAAUCUUGGCUCUCCCGAUCCCAGCUCUGUGAUCUUGGGGGAUUCAACUUCCUCAGUUCUCAAGUGCUGCAAAAUGGGGGUGCCUGGGAGGCAAAGAGUGUCAUUAGUGAACACGGCACCUGGCCCUUGGUGGACACGUGACUCUCCCCCCACCCCACCAUCCCCACAAGUGCUGGGAAGCACUUGGUCCCUUGACAUCAAUCUUCAACCUCCCUACAAUACUGUUCAGGGACAGCAGGAAGCAAAUCCCAUCAUUACACAAGAGAAGGGCAUGAUUGCUCUUCCGUGCAGCAACAAGAAUGACUUAACUGUUACCUUAGACACUGCACAAACAUCUGGAAGCAUAAACAGUGUAAAAAAAAUGUGCAGCCAGACUCUGGGCUUGUCAUUUCAGACCACUCUCAAGUCUCAAGAAAAGUUAACUGUCCCUUUCAGGGACACAGUGGGUCCCCACUAGGACACACCCAACACCUUCUUCCUGGAGUGAAUCUGGCAGAGGUUUCUUUGAGCACCAGACUGUCUAGAAGAUAUGUAUUUGGGCUGUUAAUGCUCACAGUGGGUCAGGAAUUAGGAUACUGUCAAAUGGCAGCACACAACCAACUGUUCCUCUGCUCUAGCCCCAGCUGGGGUAAUAUCUCUGUCAAACUUGCUGUCCUUCAGGAACUGCCAGAAGGCUGCUGGCUGUGCCAUGGCCUUGUGCUCCCGGAACACCCAUCCUCUCCCCUGGACACACGGGCUAAAAGAGGGAGCAGGAAGCAGAACAAGGAGGGCAACUUCCACAGUUCUGCAUCCAGGUCAGGAGCACGGUCAGCCCAGAGCGGCCUGCCUUUAUGCUGCCAAGCCUCCCCCGACCCCCACCCUCUUAAAGAAUCCAAGCAAAAGUACCUUUGAACAAUGUGUCCCCACCCCAUCAGUUUGAGGAUGCCCCUCAUCCCUCACACGCUGGAACCUUGGUGGCAGCGUGCAGUCUUAGAGCCAAAGUCCCACGUGGCCUCUGUGUGCCUGACUCCUCUGAACCACCCCUCAGUGUCUCCGGGAGGCUUGGACACACAAGAGCCUCCUCACCACUGUGGUGACAGUGCCCGAUUUUUGCGGCAUGCAUUCAGAGCUUCCGCCUUACGUGCCAGUGGACUGCAAGACCGUGUGCUGGAGGGCUGCGGGCAGACAGGCAGCAGGGACUUGCCAGGCAAGGCCCACUGGCGCAUGGCACGGGAUGCUUCCUCAGGCCUAUCGCCCUGCCCGCACCCUAGCAUCCACCCUGGGAAGGGCUCCCCUAACUCAGGCAGUGCCCCCAUCUUCAGUCACUGGCAAAGAAGACAACAGAGUCCAGGGAGCUUGGACACUUGCUGCCCUUGGCCCCAGGACACCGAUGGGGAGCAGGCUCCCUGCAGGUUACUGCACACCCACCACACGCCCAGCAGCUUCUGGGUCGCCUUGCUGAUUCUUCCCAAGCAGCCGCAAGGCGGUUUUCUUUUGUUCUUGGGUGUUUAGAGCCUCUGUUUACAAGUGGAGCAGCCCAUGUCCCAGGAAGUAGGAUGUGCCACUGCUGCACUCCCUGUGGAUGAGGACUCCUGCGCUCAGCACAGGUUCCCUAGGCAACCACUUCUCACUGGCCCAGACGUGGCUUUCAGAGUCCUCGCCCAGGACCCUGGCCAGCCUGAAUGGUGUAACCAUUCCCUACCCCAUCACCGCUUCACCAUGGACUUGCUCAAAUCACGCAUCUUGCAAAAUAACCAGCGAAGCAGGCUACAUGGAGUACUUGGCUCCUGCCUACCUGGAGCUCGGCAAAGCCCGGUUCCCCAACACAGCUCUGGGCCUGAAAGGUGGCUUGCCUUCCUGCUAAAGGCCCGAGGGACUUCGUGGGCUCAUUAGAGGUCAUCUGGUUUAGCUCCAUUUCCAAGACAGACUGAUUUGCUGGAAGCCACCAAGCCAGCCACCAACACUCCCCAACCCCAGUGCCAGCGUUCUCUGGCCCCGUGCUGCCCCACCCCAUCAGGAGCCCACUGAGCUUCCGCAAGGUUGAGUGCAGCCCACAGUGAAUACCUGCUGGUUCUGAACGUUCCAUUCCUUCCUUGUGAAUUACUCCUGAUGUGGAGUUGUGUGUGCAGUGGGAGAUGGAAGCAAGCCUGCAGAAGGUGGUGCUCACUUCCUCGGGGCUACCGUGGAGCUGAGUGGGAGCCGUAGUUUAUAAAUGCCCUGUGCUGCACCCAGAUGCUGCAGCUGGAAGCAGCACUCAGGGAGCCCAUCCUGACCUGCCCGGGCUCCCAGAAGAGGUCAGGAGCCACAGGAUGGUCAAGCAGCCGGACAAUCACGAGACACUGCAAACGAGCUGCUCCUCUGACACAUGCUAGCCACCAGGUUUGGAAACCUCCCAGUUCUGCUCAGCAAAUCAACUAGAACCUUCUCCCACUGCUCUGAGUCUGCGCUGCACCACUGAGCCGAGGGGCCCACUCGGCAUGUAGGCUCAGGCUCAAUGGCACAACUCCCUGUAGCACAGCACACACACACUAGCUCCCAAGGCCACCUCUGGGAGGCUGUUAGCAUUGCUGACUUACACCCAGUUAGGAAUCUCGGGGCACUCUGAGGGAAAGUGCUGGGGCUGCCCUGAAAAAUGCACCUUCUCCCAGAAAUCAGGGGAUUCUUUAAGACACUUGAGAAAGGACAGCAGAUGAUCCAAACCUCUCCGGCCCCACCUCCCAGCCUAGGGCUCUUUCCUGGGCCACCCUCCACCUCUCCCAUCAAAUUAAAUCACUUUCCUACACCUGACAGCAGCCCACUGUCAUAAAGCAAGUAACAAGCCGAAGGUCUGUGUGGGAGGUUGAUUUGGGAACACUGGAUGUACUUAAUGUGGAAAGAACCAGGAAAACUCCAUCCAGAUGCCAUGGAGAUACCAAGGGUGGCCACGACGCCAGGGGACCCAGGAAGAACUUCGUCUCCUUCACUCACCUGGUCCCCUUCUUGUUGGGCACUGUGUAUGGGCGGAGAAAAUCCAGCUUGUUCUUGCUGAUGACGCAGAGGUCAAUGUUGCUUCCGGAGCCCAGGUCGUUGAAGAUGCCAGCUGCGAUGGCUUCGCUCACCAGAUUCUUGGCUUCCUCCUCCUGAGAAACAGAACGGCGGCAAUAAUGUCCCCGGCCAAACUAGGGCCUGCUCUGACAUCCGCAAUGUACGUCCACUAGCAGUGCGCAAGACCUCCCGCGAGACAGGUGUUGUUUUUAAUGCCCAUCUCACAGAUGAGGAAAAGAUCUCAAAGUACCUUGAUUAUUUACCCAAAGUUCCCGACCCAGGCCUUUAAAACUUUUUAUGCAUGCACCGCCUCUUGACCACAUCAGACAAUCACCACAAAACGAUGGGCUGACAGUUACUAGAGGGUUAGUAACUUAUCUUUAAAAGGGCCAGGUAGUAAAUAUUUUAGGCUUUGUGGCCAAAAGUCUCUACCACACCUACUCAACUCUGUCACGCUAGCACAAAACAGCCACACACAAAUACAUUAAAAAAUGGGUAUAACUGUGUUCCAAUAAAACUCUAUUAGCAACAGGCAGUGGGCCAGAUCUGGCCCACUGACUGCAGUUUACUAACUAUCCCCUGAUCAAGAAUGUCCAACAAUAGCUGAAAGUUACUUGAGAAAGUCAGCACUGUAGGAGGAAGAAACUAACACCAAAACACAAGCCGGUAGUUCUGGGGAAAUGCUGGCAGACCAAGGGCGGGACCUCUUGCCCAGAAUAAUCUCUCUCUCCUACUAAGGAACCUAUAGGUUCACUGAAGUAAUCCAUUACUUUGAAUCACUCUCUCCUUUGCCCCACCUUUAAACACAAAUCCCCAUCCCUAAUAGUUACUGGUGAACAGAUGGACUCAUCCCUUUCUUAUCCGAGAAGCCCCAUCACAUGCUAUGUCCUAUCACAUGCUAUACCAGAAGCUAGGGCUGCAGAGGUGGAUGACGCCCCCAGAUCCCUGCCCCCUAGGGGCUUAAGAGUCUAGCAGGGGCACCUGACCCAAGUAAGUACAAUGCAGGGUAAGGCUGGCUAAAGAGCACGUGAAAAGGAGCUGGGAACACAGCUGGUCAGCAGAGCUUCAGGGAGGGCUGAAGGACAGGCUGCACACGAGGCACUCAGAAAACAGCAGUGAAACAGAAGGCAGGCAGCAACGGCAGUGGUACUGGACCUGGGGAACACCAAGUUCAAGCUCUAUAUACAACGAGGACAAAAAUGAACCAGGCUCCCUGAAAGCAGGGAAUCUAACCUGUGCUACGGCGCCUUCCCAGUCCACGAGGGCGUGAGAGUACAUACACAUGCAAGUGCACUCCAGCGCUCACCCAAGCAACACCCUUGGAGAAACACGGACUCCAGGCCCAAAUCCAGCCUGAGACCCUCAAAGGGCAGAUCCGCUAACCUCAAGUUUUCAGAAGAUCUGAACCCACUGGGGGCUCCUGCUCCUCUGCCUGCCCCAUGCCAGACUAGGAUUCCAGUGACAUAAGCGCCCUCUACAGACUCAGAAGGACAGAGAAGGUUCUGCUGGAAGUGGGCUCCUCAGCAAACCAGCAGAUAGGGGUUCCUUUGAUAUUUAUACCCCAGGUUUUUUCACUCUCACGUGACAUCUAUGUGGGGCCAAUGAAGCCAAUUCUUCUUUUGUACAUAUGCAGUCCUGUAAGAAUGCAUUCAAACGGGAUCCGCUAAUUAGGAAUUUUCUCCUGGAAUUCUCAACAGUCUAUGGGGCCAGAAGCUUUCCACAAACCAGUGAAGGUGGCAGCAAAGAAAGCCUCUUAGACGAGGAGCUGGCAGCAGCUGCUAUCUAGAUAGACAGCAAAAACCAACCACUAAUUCAGCAAACACAACCUCAUACCUAACCGCUUCCCUUUAAAUGGCCUUCGGUGUGUGCGCACAUGGGCACGUGCGGGGAGAACCAUACUUAUUCCCCUGUUCCCGGCCUACCACCUCUGCUCCCCCUUCUCUUCUCUACCAUUUAACUGUCUCCUCUGCUUUGUUUCUUAUCACUGCUGCUGGUGUCUAGAGCCAGCCAGCAGUACCUGGCAGACAUCGCGACCCUGCGGGCAGCGCUUAGGACUGCACAUUUACAUUUCCCAAAUGAUCUGGGUAGAUGGGGACAGGUGAAGACUUGGGGAAACGGAAAUAUACGAAUGACAUGAGACAUGCAUAUCUAGUGUCAAUCCAUUCGACUGGGCACAGGACAGCAGACUGCUGACAGUGCUAUGUAAGAUUAUGAGUGAUCCUCCCUCUAUUUUGCAAACAGUCUGUAAGUAACUGAUAAAACUUUAAAAUAUGCAAAUUUUAAAAUUAUAUAGUUUGAUUUACUCAUCAAAUUAUCAUGUAUGCUGUUAUUUAAGUAUGAAUAAAGGCUUUUUUAAAUUGGGAAAA
Molecule: long non-coding RNA, 5714 nt
Filed under: Homo sapiens (human)
Lineage: Eukaryota; Metazoa; Chordata; Mammalia; Primates; Hominidae
Description: uncharacterized LOC100129034 (LOC100129034)
Source: RNAcentral